Bos taurus (domestic cattle) is the source of this 73-nucleotide non-coding RNA. NCBI's taxonomy places the organism in Eukaryota, Metazoa, Chordata, Mammalia, Artiodactyla, Bovidae. The record is from Rfam.
UCCCUGAUGGUCCAGUGGUUAGGACUCGGCAUUUUCACUGCCAUGGGCCCAGGUUCAAUCCCUGGUUAGGGAA